Molecule: unclassified non-coding RNA, 6196 nt
Filed under: Leishmania donovani
Lineage: Eukaryota; Euglenozoa; Kinetoplastea; Trypanosomatida; Trypanosomatidae
Description: gene:LdHU3.15.0090(CDS-product:Eukaryotic_transla tion_initiation_factor_4_gamma_type_1_putative)
Source: RNAcentral
UGACUUCCCACACAUCCGCGCGCACAUUCGCCUCUCUCCUGCCCCCCGUCCCCCACUCCCUCGCUCAGCUGUUCUCCCCUUCGUUUGCUUCCCGUGUGCGUGUGCUUCCGUAUUCGCCCCCUCCCCCCUCCUCCCCCCAUCCUCCCUUCGCCGCACUCACUCACCUCAGUUCACUAGAAGAUGCUGAUGGAAACACAGAUUAGCCGCUCCCUCAUCGAGAGGGAGCGACGCACCGAGUCUGUCUUCCGCCCGCCCAAGUUCGUGAAGUGCAUGCCGCCACAUAAGAAAACACUCACGGCUACGGCUCGCCCGUGGUACCCGACGGGCGCCGAUGUGGAGAAGAAGCCGCUGACUCCUCCUCGCCUUAUCCUGGCACCACCCACCGCGCUAGGACAGUCACCAGACGUCAAACCAAAAAGCGCGCCUGUGCUGGCACCGCUGACAGACUUGUCGAUGCAGAGUCUGCAAAGCAGCCUGUUCUCUCCGCUCAGCACUCCCGUGCACACCUUCUUCCACAACAUCACGGAGGUGGCGACGGCGGCGCGCGUGUAUCCGGUGGAGAUGUUCAUGUCGGUCCGGAAGGAUGCCUCGCACACGCCACACGGCGUGCUCCGCUGGUGUGUGCAGCAGUACCUGGAGGUGCCCACGCUAAAGGUGCCGACGCACCUGCAGCUGUCAAUGAGCGAGGUGCUCAACUCGGAGGACGGCAUUAGCCGCGGCGCGCUGGGCUCCGGCUUGAAGGGCAAAACACGCGCGAAGCCGGUGCGACAGGUGCACCACAAGGUAAUGUCGGUGCUCAGCCGCAUCACGCCGCAGAAGUUCACGGAGCUGCUUCAGGAGCUGAUGCAGCUCCCGCUGCGUCAAACGGACGAAUCUGAACUGCACGAGGUAGUCAAGGUGUUCUUUGACAAGGCCGUGCAGGAGCCGGAGUACAGUGAGCUCUACGCGCGCCUCUUCAGUGAGCUGUGCGAGAUGAAGGAUGGCGAGCGCGAGUUGGAGGCGGAGCUGCGCGACCGCCUCUUCUGCAACCGCAUCAACCGCGAGCUGCUCCACACCUGCGACGAGGAGUUCCACCGCCCCAUCGAGCUGACUGCCGACGAGAAGGUCGACCGCACCACUGGCAAGCCCUACAGCGAGGAGGAGGUGGACAUGAAGCGCACCCGCCUGAAGAACCGUCUCGUUGGCAACAUCAAGUUCCUGGGCGAGCUUUUCAAGAUCAACCUCGUGACGGAGCGCGUCGUGGAAAAUAUGUUCAAGCUGCUCGUCGGCGACUUUGACCCGAGCAACCCUGUCGAGCGCGAGGACUACAUCUUUGAGGUCUUCUCGACGCUGAUCCGCACGGUCGGGCCGAUUCUAAAGGAGCGCCGCCCGUUAGUGCUGGCACGCUACCUAGGUGUAGCCAAGGCGGUCGAGAACUCGCACCCGCGCCCCCGCAUCCGCUUCCUCAUGAUGGACCUGAGUGACCUCAACAGGAAGCAGGGGUGGGUCUCCACCGAGCGAGUGAUGCGUGAGGCGGACUCGUGCGACGACCUGCAGCGCUCGUCGUCCAUGAAGCACGUCGACAGCGUGGCCAGCACCUCCUUCCUGCAGUCCUCCAUCAUGAGCCCGAGCGAGGACAACACGAUGCAGCGCUGCGACUUUGUACUUCCUCGACCAGUCUCCGUCGCGUUCCGCGAUAACUCCGGUUUCGGCACCAGCAUCACUAUCUCUCCCUCCACACCCAGCAACAGUCCCACCUUGUCGCGCGCCUACGUCCCGCCGAAGCCGACCGCGCUGGGCCCUUCGCAUUUGCGCCCCUCCUACAACGCGCCUGUGCAGAGCUCCAUGCCGGAGCGGCGGUCCCCGGCCUCUGCCUAUAUUCGCCCGUCGAUCAACCUGCCCGCCUCUCACUCCCUCAGCAACGCCCCGCCGCAUUCCUCGCUGCCGCGCUGCCGCACCUCGAUGGCGGGCGCGACGGAGGUGGUCAACAUUCAGGAGGUGACGCAGCAGCUCAUACAAAACUUCAACGAUCCCAGGGAGGAGGCGACCGUGCUGAAUGGCAUUAGCGCGAUGAGCCUCAAGAACAAGGUGCUGUGCCUGACAUGGUGGCUGCGGCAGGUGACCACCGAUACCUCACGCUUCGAAGAGCGGCAACGCAUCACAGAGCUGCUCUCCUCGAUACUCACCUCUUGCCCUUCUUUCCAGCCCAGCGACUUGAUCUCCGCCAUCAUCGAGUGGAUCCGCUUCGAUAUUGAGAAGGCGGAAUACCACCAAUGCCCCCGCAUGUUCGAGAACAUGGGUCACAUGAUCCAGCGCUGCUACGCUGCCGAUGUGUCUACGCUGCCGAACAUCAGCGAGGUGCAGAACCUGCUGCAUCUAGGCCUCUUCAACGUCAUGCUGCACGACCUGACCACUUCGAAUGGCACGGACCAGAUGGUUACCCUUGUCAAGAGCGCCUUUUCGAUUGGUGUGUCGCUGCUGAACACGAUCGCCGACCGGAAGAGUGAGGCGGCGACGCUGCGCGUGGCGCUGCAGUGCCGCUUCCGGCUACUGCCAUACUUCUUCAGUGUCAGCAACCUCUCAGAGACCGGCAUUCCAUGCACCACACCCCAGUGCCGCACACCGACGACGCCGAACACGCGCAAUAUCCCGCAGAUGGAGUCCAUCAGCAGCGUUGGUCACUAUGACCCACUGUCCCAGUGUAUGCUGUUUCACAAGGUGACCGACGAUGCCGAGUUUGUCGUGCUGCGCCGCGCCCGUGUCGAUGCCAGCGAGCGCACCGCGGCAUGGAAGGAGGCUUUGGUGAGCCUCGCCCUCGCGGAGACCGGCAACGGCUCCACUGUCUCGCAGCUUGUUCAGAUGGCCAAGGUGAUCGGUGCUCUCCUGGCAUGCUCUACUGUGUCGGUGAACGGCACGAACUUGCUGUCGGCCACCGAGGUGGACGAGCUUGUGGGCGAGAUGCUGAAGCGCCGCUCUGGCCCGCUGUUCCAGGCCAUGGCCGCCAUGGAAGUCAUUAUGCACCACACGCUGUCCGUCUCCGGCUCGAACCCGCGCAAGAGUAUCCGCGUCCGGCAGCUGCGCCUCAUGUACUCCCGCUGGUGCACGCUUAACAUAUUUGACACGACGGUCGUCAUGAACCUGCUGCAGAGCCUGCAUGCACCGGAGAACGGUGCCAGCGUCUAUGCCGUGUACCACAACGCCCUUGUCGAUGCAGAGCUGCCGUGGGCCACCGUCCUCACAUACUUAUCGUAAAAGAAGAAAAGACACCAACGUGUGUACUGUCAUACGCACACAGACAAGUAAGCAACCCACACGGCUCUACGCGUGCGUGGGAAAUCGUGAGCGUGUGCGUGAGAGUGAUAGAUAAGGAGAAAGUAACAAAGCCUGCGUGGGGCUAACAUAACAACACACAUUGCCUUCACCAACGAAACAAGUGAGCGCCAUACCGCUCACCGGCACUGUGCUGCACGGCUCUCUCUUUUGUUUCAUUUUUCAUUUGCGUUCCUCUUUUCCUCGUCUCCUUUCUUUUUUUUUCUUGCAACUGUUCUUUUUCCCUUCCCUCCCCCUCAUGACUGCCUUCCUCACAUGCUCCCUCACUUGGCACUGCGCUUUCUACGUAACUCGCUCUCUCCCCUCUCCGAUGAUCAUCGCGGUGCCGAAGCGAAAGGAGAAGGUAAGGGCAGAGCCACAGCAGCGGCAGCAGCAGGAGACAGAGAGGGCUACAGCUAAGGGCGAAGGCUGUGCAGCACAGUGCGAGUUCGUGUCUUCUUGUUGGCUCCCAUGUUCUUUGUACAAAUCAUAAAAACACAAUGUAAGCACCCGAUCCGUUCAAGCCAGCGUACAGCUCCCUCACUUUCUUCUCCACAUCUCUGCCUCUGCGUGGUGAAGCAAUAACUGAAGAGGACGGGUGGGGGGAGGGCGAAAAGGCGGCGAAAGGUUGGCCAAGUCGAUGCCGCCACGCCGUAAGGGGAAAGGUAAAACGGAAAGCCGUACGGUGGCCAGCUCGCAGGCCGCAGGGAUGGAGAGGGGAGAGCAUGUGAGGAGUAUAACACUGGCGAAGGGCAAAGCGGAUGCGUAGGGAGUGGGCGAAAGGAGAGACUGAGCAGGAGAGUUCUUCUCUCGCAUUUCUCUUUCCCUCCGCGUUCACACAGUCUCCCAACGCCAACGCCAGCAUCUCCACACCUGCGCGUGUGACCGGAUGCUCCAGCAAAGGGAGGGUGAUCGCACGGCUUCAACUCCCAAGGAGGGUGCGAUGGCAAAAGACAGGAAGGCGGUGACGGGGGUGGUGGUGGAAGAGAGAAAGCGAGAUGCAGAGUCGAGAUGUGAACGACGAGUGGAUCGAUGUGACCUUUUCGAUGUUCUUUCCCUCUCGGUUUCUCUCCUUCUCUUUUGUGCCCCUUCGUCUCUCUGACUUCGCGUGCCACAUGCCUCCCGGUGUGUAUGACUGUUGUGCAUCGCCUUGUACCUGUUUUGUGUUAUCUUGGGCUACCCUCCUUCUCUCCCUCUCUUUCCCUCUCUGCGUGUGCGUGCCUGUGUGUCUCGUGCUACGCCAGUUCUCACCUGCGUCCUUCGGCCGUCAGCUCAUGCUUUCGAUCUCUUCGCUCGCUCUUUUUUUUUGUUUGCGUCUUUCCCGCGGCUGUUUUUUUUUUUUCGUUUUCGACAUCAAAAAAAAAAAACAAAUGUGCGGCGGCUUUUUUUCUUCUUUUUUUCUCUAUUUGAGUGUGCUCCCCCGGCGCCUCCCUCGAUGCGGAUUUCUGUGGCGCUGUGCUGCGCGCAACCCUGCUUGUGUUUGAGGUUCUGCUCUCUCUCGCACGUACACGCUUGCCGCCUCCUUCCGUUACUAUUUUUCGCCUUCACCACCGCCACUUCCUCCUUUCGAUUGAGCUUUUUGUUUUCUCCUUCUGCCUGCUUUCCACGACUGUAUUUUAUGCGUUUUUGUGCUCCGUUUGGGUUUCUGUCGUCUUCGAUGCCGCGGCCAUCCCGUUAACCUUCCUCUCCCUCCUUGUCUCUCCACUGAUAAGGGCACACAGCACGUGUUUCGCUGCGACUGUCUGGCUUCACGUACUGGAUGCUGUUUUGCGAACAAAGGAGGGCAGCGGAACCUGAAUUUGAAAGUGGAGGUGGAGAAGCGUACGCUGGAAGGGGAGACUCUAUAGAAGAAGAAAAAGGAAACCGGCGCGCAAAGACAGCAGCGGUGCACGUGAUAGCGAAGGUGCACAUGACUCGAACUUUUUUAUCCGCUAUUUCAGUUCGGUGUGUUGCUGCGCUCCGCUUUCUGCGACGCGGUUCCACCAACCUCUGCGAUUCCUGUGCUCCCACGCCACCACUGACAAACACUCACAUACCCACACCCCACCGCUGGACAUGCAAGCUAAGUAAAACGGAGAGUAGUGACGGAAAGUGUGGGCGAAAAGGCUGAAUUAAGAGCCAUGGGGCUCUCCCCCUUUUCUCUACUCGAACGCAGUGUUUCGGCCUUCAUUCGCCAUUCUACGGCCCUCCUGGCUGCGCUAUACUUUUCAGUUCACUGCAGCAAAGGUGAGGGUGAACAACAAAAAGCGGGAAUAGGGACGAAGCGAAACAAAGAGCCCCCCUCUCUCCCUUUUACGUGUACUCGUGUCAGUACCAUCAUGCGUCGCCAUGUCGCUUUCUCUCUCUCAUUGCUUUUGCCGAUGACGCGGCUCUUUUUUGCUCCCAUCGCACACUCACCUCUACACACGUAGACUGCCUGACUGACUGACGUUGCUGUCUCCUUCUUCCUUUCUCUCUUUUCCUUUUGUUUGUUCUUGGUUUAUCAUUUCACUUUAAAUUUUUUUCUCUUGAUGGUUCAGUUACGGAGUGCGUGUGCGUAUGUCUACACUAGAGUGUGCGUGGCGAUGCGUGCCGUCCCCCUCCUCCUGCGUGGCUCUCUGUGUCCCUGUACCUCUCUCGUUUCAUAUUGUCGACUUUCAGGAAGUGACUUGAAGAAAACAAAAAACGAACACGAGCACUUACGCUUCAAUCAACCCGGCACUUUUUUCUUCGCUAUUUGUGUGUGUGCGUGUGUUUCGUCUUCUUUCCUCCCCUUCUCUGUUUGCGCGUUCGCAGAGACUGCAACAGGACCCGCACCCUCCCAUGCCCGCGCUUUCUCUCUUUGGACCGCUCUCUCUCCCGUCUACCGCGUUACGGUCUUUGAUCUCUGUCGUGUGCACCACUCGCUUCUCUCCCUGCGCCCCCACAG